CGCCUGUUUAUCAAAAACAUGUCUUUUUGAUAAUUAUUUAAGGUCUGGCCUGCUCAAUGAGUUGUUAAAUAGCCGCAGUAUUUUGACUGUGCAAAGGUAGCAUAAUCAUUAGUUUUUUAAUUGGAAGCUGGAAUGAAUGGUUGGAUGAGGAAGUUACUGUCUCAUUGUGAUUUUAUUGAAUUUUAUUUUUGAGUUAAAAAGCUUAGAUUUUAUAGAAAGACGAGAAGACCCUAUAGAGUUUAAUAAGUUAUGCUUGAUUUCUUUAGGUUUCGAUUUUUAAUUAGGUUUGAUCUUAUUUUGUUGGGGUGAUGUGAAAAUUGGCUUAACUUUUCAUUAUUUUUACAUUGAUUUAUGAUUUAUUGAUCCUGAAGUUUUGGAUUUGAAGGAUAAAUUACCUUAGGGAUAACAGCGUGAUUCUUUUAGAGAGUUCUAAUCGAUAAGGGAGAUUGCGACCUCGAUGUUGGAUUAAAGUUAAUUCUUGGCGCAGAAGCUAGGGUUAUAAGUCUGUUCGACUUUUAAAACUUUACGUGAUCUGAGUUUAGACCGG
RNAcentral lists this ribosomal RNA (547 nucleotides) under Iselma pallidipennis. RNAcentral's name for it is "partial 16S ribosomal RNA". It matches the Rfam family "Bacterial large subunit ribosomal RNA", at positions 1797 to 2619 of the family's 2925-position model. Lineage: Eukaryota; Metazoa; Arthropoda; Insecta; Coleoptera; Meloidae. The record is from RNAcentral.